GAUUUCUGACGAACCGGAGUGGCCCGUUUCCUUUCAGGGAAUGAGUGCCGCUUUGAGUUUGUCAUCCUUCCAGAGAGCUGCGUCUACCGUUUAUUCGGCCGGACGUAUGCGAUCUGGAUCUAUUACUUUGAAAAAAUUAGAGUGUUUAAAGCAGGCUUACGCUGUGAAUACAUUAGCAUGGAAUAAUAAUCUAGGACUUUGGUUCUAUUUUGUUGGUUUCGAGAGCUGAAGUAAUGAUUGAUAGGGAUAGUUGGGGGUGCUAGUAUUCAGAGGCCAGAGGUGAAAUUCUUGGAUUCUCUGAAGACUAACUUAUGCGAAAGCAUU
This 324-nucleotide ribosomal RNA is filed under the name uncultured Euglypha. RNAcentral's name for it is "SSU rRNA". The stretch from base 109 to 324 matches the Rfam family "Eukaryotic small subunit ribosomal RNA", at positions 738 to 955 of the family's 1831-position model. The record is from RNAcentral. Lineage: Eukaryota; Cercozoa; Imbricatea; Euglyphida; Euglyphidae.